This 83-nucleotide transfer RNA is filed under the name Canis lupus familiaris (dog). It matches the Rfam family "tRNA". From Rfam's summary of the family: Transfer RNA (tRNA) molecules are approximately 80 nucleotides in length. Their secondary structure includes four short double-helical elements and three loops (D, anti-codon, and T loops). Further hydrogen bonds mediate the characteristic L-shaped molecular structure. tRNAs have two regions of fundamental functional importance: the anti-codon, which is responsible for specific mRNA codon recognition, and the 3' end, to which the tRNAs corresponding amino acid is attached (by aminoacyl-tRNA synthetases). tRNAs cope with the degeneracy of the genetic code in two manners: having more than one tRNA (with a specific anti-codon) for a particular amino acid; and 'wobble' base-pairing, i.e. permitting non-standard base-pairing at the 3rd anti-codon position. The record is from Rfam by way of RNAcentral. Lineage: Eukaryota; Metazoa; Chordata; Mammalia; Carnivora; Canidae.
GCCUGGGUGGCUCAGUGGUCGAGCAUCUGCCUUUGGCUCAGGUCGUGAUCCCGGAGUCCUGGGAUCGAGUCCCACAUCAGGCU